UGGGGAAUUUUGGACAAUGGGCGAAAGCCUGAUCCAGCAAUGCCGCGUGUGUGAAGAAGGCCUUCGGGUUGUAAAGCACUUUUGUCCGGAAAGAAAUGGCUCUGGUUAAUACCUGGGGUCGAUGACGCUACCGGAAGAAUAAGGACCGGCUAACUACGUGCCAGCAGCCGCGGUAAUACGUAGGGUCCAAGCGUUAAUCGGAAUUACUGGGCGUAAAGCGUGCGCAGGCGGUUGUGCAAGACCGAUGUGAAAUCCCCGAGCUUAACUUGGGAAUUGCAUUGGUGACUGCACGGCUAGAGUGUGUCAGAGGGGGGUAGAAUUCCACGUGUAGCAGUGAAAUGCGUAGAGAUGUGGAGGAAUACCGAUGGCGAAGGCAGCCCCCUGGGAUAACACUGACGCUCAUGCACGAAAGCGUGGGGAGCAAACAGG
RNAcentral lists this ribosomal RNA (429 nucleotides) under bacterium. RNAcentral's name for it is "partial 16S ribosomal RNA". It matches the Rfam family "Bacterial small subunit ribosomal RNA", at positions 355 to 776 of the family's 1533-position model. The record is from RNAcentral.